UAGGGAAUCUUCGGCAAUGGGGGGAACCCUGACCGAGCAACGCCGCGUGAGUGAAGAAGGUUUUCGGAUCGUAAAGCUCUGUUGUUAAGGAAGAACGAGUGUGAGAAUGGAAAGUUCAUGCUGUGACGGUACUUAACCAGAAAGGGACGGCUAACUACGUGCCAGCAGCCGCGGUAAUACGUAGGUCCCGAGCGUUGUCCGGAUUUAUUGUGCGUAAAGCGAGCGCAGGCGGUUAGAAAAGUCUGAAGUGAAAGGCAGUGGCUCAACCAUUGUAGGCUUUGGAAACUGUUUCACUUGGGUGCAGAAGGGGAGAGUGGAAUUCCAUGUGUAGCGGUGAAAUGCGUAGAUAUAUGGAGGAACACCGGUGGCGAAAGCGGCUCUCUGGUCUGUAACUGACGCUGAGGCUCGAAAGCGUGGGGAGCGAACAGG
RNAcentral lists this ribosomal RNA (429 nucleotides) under Bacteroidota bacterium. RNAcentral describes it as "Bacteroidetes bacterium partial 16S ribosomal RNA". It matches the Rfam family "Bacterial small subunit ribosomal RNA", at positions 355 to 776 of the family's 1533-position model. The record is from RNAcentral. Lineage: Bacteria; Pseudomonadati; Bacteroidota.